RNAcentral lists this unclassified non-coding RNA (433 nucleotides) under soil metagenome. Its description in RNAcentral is "partial contains 5.8S ribosomal RNA, internal transcribed spacer 2, and large subunit ribosomal RNA". The stretch from base 1 to 120 matches the Rfam family "5.8S ribosomal RNA", at positions 35 to 154 of the family's 154-position model. The record is from RNAcentral.
GAUGAAGAACUCAGCGAAAUGCGAUACGUAAUGUGAAUUGCAGAAUUCAGUGAAUCAUCGAAUCUUUGAACGCAUAUUGCGCUCUCUGGUAUUCCGGAGAGCAUGCUUGUUUGAGUAUCAGUAAACACCUCAACUUCCAUAUCUUUUUUUGAAAUGGGAGUUGGACUUGAGUGAUCCCAACGCUUUUCCUCACCGAAAAGUGGCGGGUUACUUGAAAUGCAGGUGCAGCUGGACUUUUCUCUGAGCUAUAAGCAUAUCUAUUUAGUCUGCCUAAAAAACAGAUUAUUACCUUUGCUGCAGCUAACAUAAAGGAGAUUAGUUCUUGUGCUGACUGAUGCAGGAUUCACAAAGACAGCUUCGGCCGACUUUGUAAACUCGAUCUCAAAUCAAGUAAGACUACCCGCUGAACUUAAGCAUAUCAAUAAGCGGAGGA